RNAcentral lists this long non-coding RNA (436 nucleotides) under Brassica rapa (field mustard). Its description in RNAcentral is "long non-coding RNA (BRAP_LNC006149)". Lineage: Eukaryota; Viridiplantae; Streptophyta; Magnoliopsida; Brassicales; Brassicaceae. The record is from RNAcentral.
UUUCAAUGAAAAUGCCAACUCAAGAAAGGAAAUUGCCACAAAUAGCACAUUGAUAGUACCACUUUUCAUGUUUACACUAACCAUUUUUACCAUCAUUUUUAAUGAAGGGUAAAAGACACUUAUACACUUAGGGUUAACUAAUUUAGACUUAAGGUUUAGAGUUGAGGGGUGGGGUAGAGUUUUUGGAAUGUGAAAUUUAGGAUUCUAAUAAAUAUAUAAAUAAAUACUUAGAAAAUAUAAUUAUUUUAAAAGAUAGUUUCAAACAUAAUUUUCGAUUUUCAAAAAGAAAUUUGAAAAAAAAGAAAAUAAAAAAAAAGUUUUAGAAAAAAAAAUUUCAGAAAAAGUUAGAAUUUGAAAAAUUAUAAUUCGAAAACAUAAAAAAAAUUAUUUUUUUUAUAUUUUUUUCGGCACAUGUCAAUCCUUAUGUCCUCAGCGA